Molecule: long non-coding RNA, 244 nt
Organism: Cygnus olor (mute swan)
Lineage: Eukaryota; Metazoa; Chordata; Aves; Anseriformes; Anatidae
Exons: 3
Source: RefSeq, a predicted model, not a curated record
CAUACAAGUGACUGAAGUACCCAGCUGGAGAUAACUUACCCCAAGCAGCUACUGUGGCACCAAGGAACUUUUCUCCAAUACAACAGUUACCAUAAAAGAAGAAAGUUCACCUGCUCAUCAUUUGUCAUUGCACUCCAUGGAAGUUCAUCAAGAUUCCUAUGCUUGUUUUUCUUCUUUGGAAGCAGACACGGAGAGCUUGGAAUACUAGGUGAGACAAAGCGAGCUCUGUACUCUUCUCAGCACC